UGCAAGUCGAACGAAGUAGCAAUACUUAGUGGCAGACGGGUGAGUAACAUGUAGGUAUCUUCCCUUUGGUGAGGAAUAACACGAGGAAACUUGUGCUAAUACCUCAUAAGUCUUUACGGAGAAAGCUUUAUGCGCCAAUGGAUGAGCCUGCACUUGAUUAGUUUGUUGGUGGGGUAAUGGCCUACCAAGACAAUGAUCAAUAGCUGAUUUGAGAGGAUGAUCAGCCACAUUGGGACUGAGACACGGCCCAAACUCCUACGGGAGGCAGCAGUAGGGAAUCUUGCACAAUGGGGGGAACCCUGAUGCAGCGAUGCCGCGUGAGUGAAGAAGGCCUUUGGGUUGUAAAGCUCUUUCGUCGGGGAAGAAAAUGACUGUACCCGAAUAAGAAGGUCCGGCUAACUUCGUGCCAGCAGCCGCGGUAAUACGAAGGGACCUAGCGUAGUUCGGAAUUACUGGGCUUAAAGAGUUCGUAGGUUGUUAAAAAAGUUGGUGGUGAAAUCCCAGAGCUUAACUCUGGAACUGCCAUCAAAACUUUUUAGCUAGAGUAUGAUAGAGGAAUGCAGAAUUUCUAGUGUAGAGGUGAAAUUCGUAGAUAUUAGAAAGAAUACCAAUUGCGAAGGCAGCUUUCUGGAUCAUUACUGACACUGAGGAACGAAAGCAUGGGUAGCGAAGAGGAUUAGAUACCCUCGUAGCCCAUGCCGUAAACGAUGUGUGUUAGACGUUGGAAAUUUAUUUUCAGUGUCGCAGCGAAAGCAAUAAACACACCGCCUGGGGAGUACGACCGCAAGGUUAAAACUCAAAUGAAUUGACGGGGACCCGCACAAGUAGUGGAGCAUGUGGUUUAAUUCGAAGAUACGCGCAGAACCUUACCAACACUUGACAUGUUCGUCGCGACUUUAAGAGAUUAAAGUUUUCGGUUCGGCCGGACGAAACACAGGUGCUGCAUGGCUGUCGUCAGCUCGUAUCG
This 967-nucleotide ribosomal RNA is filed under the name uncultured marine bacterium. RNAcentral's name for it is "bacterial SSU rRNA". It matches the Rfam family "Bacterial small subunit ribosomal RNA", at positions 56 to 1067 of the family's 1533-position model. The record is from RNAcentral.